CCCUGGCUCAUGGAUCCCUGAGGUCAC
This 27-nucleotide non-coding RNA is filed under the name Cricetulus griseus (Chinese hamster). Lineage: Eukaryota; Metazoa; Chordata; Mammalia; Rodentia; Cricetidae. The record is from RNAcentral.